UACCACCAAUGGCCGGGUUAGAAGGACAAGUCGGAUCAAAGGGCAGAGCUCUGCAAAUACUUCUGAUAUUUGGGGACCCACACCACUGAUAACACCCACGUUUGAUUCACGGUUGCCAGCGACGGCGGCUCGUGUGCGAAAGAUGGGGGAGCGUGUGUUUAGCUUCACGGGAAGCCC
This is a long non-coding RNA of Amblyraja radiata (thorny skate), 177 nucleotides long. RefSeq lists it as uncharacterized. The transcript has 3 exons. The record is from RefSeq and is a predicted model, not a curated record. Lineage: Eukaryota; Metazoa; Chordata; Chondrichthyes; Rajiformes; Rajidae.